AUGAAUCCUAAUUUUCGUGUUACUCGUCCAUUUGUAGAGGGUAAUAGUAGGUUAUGCAUAUGCAUAAGAGACUAAUACUAUUACAGGCUGCAGACACGGCAUGUGAUAUUUAAUCCCAUACUCUAUGGAGCACGGCUGCUCCAACAAUGGGGGGUCGACAUGUACAUCAAGAUUGAGAGUUGUAGGUUGAAAUGGUACAGAAAGAACCAGACAAAGAUUUGUGCCGACCUAUAUAAAGCAGUUGUUGAUGCGAUCACAUUUGGAGAGACGCGUGCAAGCGAUGUUGGGGUAAGGAUAGUGCUCACCGCGACAUGA
This 315-nucleotide ribosomal RNA is filed under the name Triticum aestivum (bread wheat). Its description in RNAcentral is "partial small subunit ribosomal RNA". The record is from RNAcentral. Lineage: Eukaryota; Viridiplantae; Streptophyta; Magnoliopsida; Poales; Poaceae.